CGGGACGUAGCGCAGUCCGGUAGCGCACCUGAAUGGGGUUCAGGGGGUCGCGGGUUCGAAUCCCGCCGUCCCGA
Molecule: transfer RNA, 74 nt
Filed under: Gemmatimonas sp.
Lineage: Bacteria; Pseudomonadati; Gemmatimonadota; Gemmatimonadia; Gemmatimonadales; Gemmatimonadaceae
Also listed under: 8 other names
Description: tRNA-Pro
Rfam family: tRNA
About the family: Transfer RNA (tRNA) molecules are approximately 80 nucleotides in length.
Source: RNAcentral